Molecule: RNA transcript, 4712 nt
Organism: Cygnus olor (mute swan)
Lineage: Eukaryota; Metazoa; Chordata; Aves; Anseriformes; Anatidae
Gene: RAB33B
Gene name: RAB33B, member RAS oncogene family
Exons: 5
Source: RefSeq, a predicted model, not a curated record
GGUUGGAGGCGGGAAGAGGUGGGGGGGGGGGGGGUGGCGACGGCGAUGAUGGCGGCGGCGGCCGAGCUGGAGUCGUCGCUGGAGCUGAGCCUGCCGGGCAGCGGCAGCCUGCCCCCGGCGCGCUCCCGCAUCUUCAAGAUCAUCGUCAUCGGCGACUCCAACGUGGGCAAGACGUGCCUCACCUACCGCUUCUGCGCCGGCCGCUUCCCGCAGCGCACCGAGGCCACCAUCGGCGUGGACUUCCGCGAGCGGGCCGUCACCAUCGACGGCGAGCGCAUCAAGAUCCAGCUAUGGGAUACGGCAGGCCAGGAGCGCUUCAGAAAGAGUAUGGUGCAGCACUAUUACAGGAACGUACACGCUGUCGUGUUUGUGUAUGAUAUGACAAACAUUGCCAGUUUUCACAGUCUGCCAUCAUGGAUAGAGGAAUGCAAACAACACCUCCUUGCCAACGAUAUACCACGGAUUCUUGUUGGAAAUAAAUGUGACCUGAGAAGUGCUAUUCAGGUACCUACGGACUUGGCCCAGAAGUUUGCUGAUACUCACAGUAUGCCGUUAUUUGAAACCUCUGCCAAAAACCCCAAUGACAAUGACCAUGUGGAGGCCAUAUUUAUGACGCUGGCUCACAAGCUUAAAAGUCACAAGCCAUUAAUGCUUAGUCAACCCCCAGAUCGCGAUCAAAUACAUAUAAAGCCUGAACCAAAACCUGCCAUGACCUGCUGGUGUUAAAUCUCACUAUUUAUUAGCUAUCACCUUGUCUUGUUUGCAAAUGCUCCAAAAUUAUGAUCUUGGCACAGAUCCAGGGUUUGGUAGCAAUUAUAGGAAAUCUUUUUGGCACUUUACUGUGUUUUUUUUUUUUUCUGGUGUAGAUGUGCCCGUCUCAUUUUCUUGCACUUUGUAAUUGUACUUUCUGAAUUACUGAAGUUUCACUAUAAAUAUACAGGAAUGUAAACUUUCAAGUGAAGUAUUGACAAAGCAAUUCUUCUUGAGCUCUUGCUGCCUGAGAUCGUUUUUGUCACUUGUGGUAAAGUUAUAUAUAGUAAGACAGUUUACUAACACUUCUGGUUGCUACUUGCAUUGGGAUAAUGUAGGAGGAAAAGUGUUUUGGGACAGCCGGAUAGCUUGAUUUUUCAGGUCAGUGAGUGGGGAGAUUUUUAAUGUCUGAAGGAAUAUUUGAUGACUGCUAGCAAGCUGUUAAGCAAGUACCUACUUAUAUAAAAAAACAAACAAGCAACAGGACUGUCAGAUAAAGUCUGGGCUUCAGUGUAAGUGCAAACUGCUGGCUUUCAUGGCAUGCCAUUCCAUUGUAAACUUUGUCCGUUUCUUCAUGGCAGUGGUAAGAGAAUCGACAAACUUGUCCCUACCUCUAGACAAUUAAUACUUAGAAGUUCAUUAAUUUUUCAUAAUUAACUUGUAAGACUAAACUAUGCAUUCCUUCAUAUGAAAAGUCCUUUAGCACAGGAUAUGGGGGAAAAUCUGGGACUAGAACUACCCACAGCCUCUCUGGCCUUACCAAAACUUCAAUAUUCAUUGAGGACUGACCUCUAAGGAUGCUGUAUUUGAGUUGUGUCCCAGUGUAAGUGAAAAAAUGGAGUGAGGUUGCCAAAAGCGUAACGUUUUUCAAAGAUACAUGUUUCAGAGGAUGCUAGUGUUGAUGUUUUUCAAAUAUCUCGAAAAAAACAACUUUUUACAAACCAACUCGAUAACAUAUUUUAAGGAUGAAAAUGCUUAGGACAGAAUGUUACUUCUCAUGCCCGUUUUGACGUACAAAGUUGUGCCUUAUUUAUUGAAAAUGUCAAGGCCACCAUAGUCUAAUGAUCUGUAUUGUUUUGUGCUAGAAUAUGUGAAGGCUUCUGUGCAAAGGAACUACCAGCUUCCGUAACUGAAGGUCGAUUUGCUUGCAUAAUGAAAACAACCCAGAAUUGAUGUAAUCUGACUGAGGUACAGUGACAAUCGUUGACCAGAGACGUGGGCUGUUGCAACUCGGAGCUUGACAGCAAGAAUGUCGUCUACAGUCUUAGGGUUGACAGAAAAAAGGAAGCGAUGAAUCAAGGAGAUUCAUGCAAGAAACCGCUGCAACAGAGCCACUGAGACCAAGCGAAGGCUUUGGUGCUCUGUGGUAGAACUGAGAGGUGCAGCGCUGUGACUUCUGUCCUUUGGCUUCUCACUGGUUUUUGCCAGCCAAAUGGAAACAUCUUUGUGUCCAGCCGUGGUGACUCCUUUCCACUGCCGUGACCCUGAACUCUGGCAGCUGUCACCCUACGCCUCGCGGCAGGGGGGAGGCGGUGCACCGAUGAUGUGGCUGGAGCUGGCAAACCAUGAGCCUCAACCUGUACAUUGCCAGCAAACUGUGCCCUGGGGUGUUCCACGUCGGUCUGAAACCUUUGGCUCUGUUUCUGCCUGAAAAUUUGUGUUAUUAAGUAAGGUCAGGAAAAAAAAGUACAUCAUCACGACUGUCAGACAGCACCAUGUAAGCACUGGACUACAAGAUUGGAAGUGAAGUUGCAAAAAAAAAACAAAACCCCAAAGCCACCAAGAAGCUAGUUGUCAGAAAUGUGCCCGAAACUGUUCUCUCAUCCCCAUGUUUCUGGGCAGGAAAUGGCUUCAGCAAAUACUUUGCUCUUAGUUGAACGUUAACUCGCAGGAACAGCUCCCCUGAUUAACCUGCUGAUUACACCUUCUGAUUAGCAAUGGCGUGCUAGUGACGAUGCUGGCAUCCUUCAGUUGCGUAGCGUGGGCAUUCCGCAGGCUUGUGCUGUGUGUUGGGGAGGGAGGAAGCAUUUUGCUAAGCUUACCCAAGGUGGAAAAGCAUUUUUGGACUUAAAAGUCCUAUCUUUGACUAGUACAAACAAUGGUACGUGAGGUGAGCAUGAAAUGCUUGGCGUCUGUAUGAUUUUGAUGUGCAGGAUGUAUAGCCAGGGGUAGUAAAGCCUUUCGAAGGAGCUUUCUAACAUGCCCUAGAAAAGAGCUGGAUGUCUGGACUCAGAGAGAUGUGAAGCACAUUUGCAUGUACCGUUCUUCUUCAAAAUGCCUUUAGUUACACUUCCCAGCGGUGGAAGCACAAGGUGCUUGCGAACAACAUGCAGCACCUGUGUGUGCAGGGUGUUUGAGGGCAGAACAGGCUGAGAGCUUAGCUGGGGGCUGGACGCGUCCUUUUUUUCCCCAGGCUUUGCCCCCGUUGUCCUGCCGGCGCUGUGCUGCGGUGCACUGGCCGUCAGCGCCACGGCUGGAUGCCAGGUUGCAUCCUGGCGUGUAUCACGCUUCCCUGCCCUCCCCACAGCAAAAAGGGCAACCUUUCGGGGCUGGGAGGCAGCAGGGCAGUGGCCCCAGCUACUAGCAGCUUGCCAAGGGGAAAAAGCCCGUGGGGCAUAAUUGCCUCGAAGCCUUUCUGCUGGAGGUGUUGCGGAUGUGUUUGUGUGAGACAAACUCCAUCUGACUUCCAUCCGAGAAAGCUGGGGGUGAGGCAGUGCACGAAAUGUCCCUGGAGAUCCUGCCAGGCUCUCAGGGGGGAACCGUAACUCGCAUGUCGAACACGCUACUAAAUAUAGCACUGGGAUCUGCAACGACGAAUAAAUAUAUUUUCUGCAAUGCUAACCAACUAGAGGGAGUGACAUUAAAUUGGUGUACAGUUUGCACCGGUUUCCACAGUGCAGCCGUUUCUUUUCUAGAAGCUCUCCUUCCGUACAAGAAUCGUUGGCUUUGUGUAGCUAUCACGGCUCCUAGGUGCCUUCAUGGUGACAGCAGUGCUCCACUACACCGUUGAAAGAUCAGCAAAACCCAUUUGAAAAAGAAAUAUACAGGCAUCGAGGGCUUUAUAGGUGCUGCUGCAUGAAUUGCAAACAUUUAAUUUAGAAGUAGGACAGACAUACUGCUCUUUUACACACCCAGCCUCCAGUAUACGCUGAGCGGGCUGUUUCGAAGCCAAAGCAGCACCUCCUGCAAGGGCAGGGCUCUGCGGGGGGCAUCCUGCCACUAAAUGCCACCGCUCGGCUGCUUCCCGAGCAGUGCAGGAGGAGCAGCCAGCUCCUCGGUGCGUGUACCAGCAACGUGCCAGCAGAACCUGACUCGCCCCGGCCUUGCUCGCAUCCUCCCCGCAGGCCCGGUGCUGCUUUCAUAACCUCCUCGCUUCAGGAGUUAACCGCUCGGAGCCGGUGAAAACAUUUCUGGAUUACAGCAAGGACUGCUGAAGUUUAUUCUUUGCAUGCUUGUCAUAAAAAUCUAAUUAAUUUCUCUGUUCAUCCAGACGCUGAACACCGGUGACUCACACCAGGCAUGCAGCACCUCCUAACCUAAGGCGCAGUCACAGACCAGUACCCCGGAUGGGGCUGCAACUUCCACCCAGCAACGAUGCGGUGGCUGAGCAGUGCCUUUCAGCAACAAAAUACUUCCAGCAAGUUACUCCUUCAGAGGCAAAAAUCUCUUUCAAACAAAAAGAGAAUCAAAGCCAAACAGUUUUCAGGUGUUAAGAAUCACAAAAACCUCUCAGAGAGCCUCACUUUUUUUUUUAAUGGAUGAGAGCAGCAGUUUAUGUUAAUCAAGGUGGGGAAAAAUCAUCACAGGCUGUUUGGAGCUAUGCCAGAAGCAGCUGGGGAUGGGAAGAGUCACGCUCAGUGCUUUGAUGCUUGCUGACAGGCACUGCACCACAGAAUAAGGCACAGCAUCGCUUUUUGCCUCAUGUUACCAAUUACCAUAUUAAAGGCAAAUAAACUUGCCUA